CCAGGUCAGAUUGGGCUACCCGCUGAGUUUAAGCAUAUCAAUAAGC
Molecule: ribosomal RNA, 46 nt
Filed under: Hoya ariadna
Lineage: Eukaryota; Viridiplantae; Streptophyta; Magnoliopsida; Gentianales; Apocynaceae
Description: partial 26S ribosomal RNA
Source: RNAcentral